CAUAUCAAUAAGCGGAGGAAAAGAAACUAACAAGGAUUCCCCUAGUAACUGCGAGUGAAGCGGGAAAAGCUCAAAUUUAAAAUCUGGUGGUCUUUGAUCAUCCGAGUUGUAAUCUAGAGAAGUGUUAUCCGCGUUGGACCGUGUACAAGUCUCCUGGAAUGGAGCGUCAUAGAGGGUGAGAAUCCCGUCUUUGACACGGACUACCAGUGCUUUGUGAUGCGCUCUCAAAGAGUCGAGUUGUUUGGGAAUGCAGCUCAAAAUGGGUGGUAAAUUCCAUCUAAAGCUAAAUAUUGGCGAGAGACCGAUAGCGAACAAGUACCGUGAGGGAAAGAUGAAAAGAACUUUGGAAAGAGAGUUAAACAGUACGUGAAAUUGCUGAAAGGGAAACGCUUGAAGUCAGUCGCGUUGUCCGGGGAUCAACCUUGCUUUUGCUGGGUGUACUUUCCGGUUAACGGGUCAGCAUCAAUUUUGACCGUUGGAUAAAGUGUAGAGAAAUGUGGCAUCUUCGGGUGUGUUAUAGUCUUUAUUCGCAUACAACGGUUGGGAUUGAGGAACUCAGUACGCCGCAAGGCCGG
Molecule: ribosomal RNA, 575 nt
Filed under: Agaricales sp.
Lineage: Eukaryota; Fungi; Basidiomycota; Agaricomycetes; Agaricales
Description: eukaryotic LSU rRNA
Rfam family: Eukaryotic large subunit ribosomal RNA
Source: RNAcentral